AAAAAAAUAAUAAUAAUAAAACAAUUACCAUCUUAAGCCACUCCUAAUUUAUGCUACAUAUCAUUAAUUUAAAAUUUUCCUUAUCAAGAGACUAAAUGUGCCGUGAUACAAAAUAGUAAAUAUUUUUAUCAAAUUAUUUAUUUUGUCUAGACUCAAUUUAUUAUAGUUUAAAGACAUAAAUUUAUAAAAUUUAUAUAUUUAACAGAUAAAAUAUAUUACACAUUUUAUAUUUUAAAUUUAUAAUCGAUCAUGUUCAAACAAGAAAUCCAAUCUAAAUCUGAUUAAGUUACGCAAUUAAUUUGGUCAGCGACUACCGUAUCUCCAAUGACCAAGUAAUGAAAAGUUGCGUGAAAGGAAGAAAGGUAAGAAAGGUACUUUUUCCAGCUCCAACCUAAACUACAAUAAAAUAAAGUGUGCUUUAAGUAAUUAAUAAUCAUCCCCAGAAGCGUAUGAAGGUUACCCAACUAGUUUUAAUAAUAACAAUAAUAGUGUGUCUAUUUAUGAGUUAGUUCACCGACAAGUUAACAUAAAUUUUAUUUGAUAUUGAAUUUUAGAAUUUAAAAUUAUUUUUUUAAAUGAAAAUAUUAUUUUAUAUAUUAGCAAAAAAAAUAAUUUAAAAAAAAUAUUUUAUUAUUUUCAUAUUUUU
This 646-nucleotide unclassified non-coding RNA is filed under the name Hevea brasiliensis (rubber tree). Lineage: Eukaryota; Viridiplantae; Streptophyta; Magnoliopsida; Malpighiales; Euphorbiaceae. The record is from RNAcentral.